CCUACGGGUGGCUGCAGUGGGGAAUAUUGGACAAUGGGCGAAAGCCUGAUCCAGCCAUGCCGCGUGUGUGAAGAAGGCCUUCGGGUUGUAAAGCACUUUCAGUGGGGAAGAAAGCCUUGGGGCUAAUACCCUCGAGGAAGGACAUCACCCACAGAAGAAGCACCGGCUAACUCCGUGCCAGCAGCCGCGGUAAUACGGAGGGUGCGAGCGUUAAUCGGAAUUACUGGGCGUAAAGCGCGCGUAGGCGGUCUGAUAAGCCGGUUGUGAAAGCCCCGGGCUCAACCUGGGAACGGCAUCCGGAACUGUCAGGCUAGAGUGCAGGAGAGGAAGGUAGAAUUCCCGGUGUAGUGGUGAAAUGCGUAGAGAUCGGGAGGAAUACCAGUGGCGAAGGCGGCCUUCUGGACUGACACUGACGCUGAGGUGCGAAAGCGUGGGUAGCAAACAGGAUUAGAUACCCGAGUAGUC
RNAcentral lists this ribosomal RNA (465 nucleotides) under Vreelandella stevensii. Its description in RNAcentral is "partial 16S ribosomal RNA". It matches the Rfam family "Bacterial small subunit ribosomal RNA", at positions 338 to 795 of the family's 1533-position model. Lineage: Bacteria; Pseudomonadati; Pseudomonadota; Gammaproteobacteria; Oceanospirillales; Halomonadaceae. The record is from RNAcentral.